RNAcentral lists this unclassified non-coding RNA (344 nucleotides) under uncultured Mortierellales. Its description in RNAcentral is "sequence contains ITS2". Lineage: Eukaryota; Fungi; Mortierellomycota; Mortierellomycetes; Mortierellales. The record is from RNAcentral.
AACGCACAUUGCGCUCUCUGGUAUUCCGGAGAGCAUGCUUGUUUGAGUAUCAGUAAAACACCCUCAGCUCCCCCGCUUCUUAGGAAGAGAGGAGCUGGACUUGAGAGAUCCCAACGGCAGUGAGAACUGCUGGCGGGUCACUUGAAAUGCAGGUGCGGCUGGACACAUCUUCUGAGCUAUAAGCAUUACUUAUUUAGUCCCGUAAAACGGAUUAUAUCUAUUGCUGCAGCUAACAUAAAGGUCGAUUGUUCUUGUGCCCGACUGAUGCAGGAAAAUGAAGGCGUCUAAUAGCGUCCUUUGUUCAACUCGAUCUCAAAUCAAGCAAGACUACCCGCUGAACUUAA